AAGUCGUAACAAGGUUUCCGUAGGUGAACCUGCGGAAGGAUCAUUAACACGUAUCCACGUAUACAUCUCACGAAUACGAAGAACUUAGCUCCCCGUACCUCAUUCGAUCUCUUCACUUGCGAUCUCGGAUUAUAGUGGGUCCCUGCGCUGGGCUUCGGCUUGGUUCAGUGUGGCAUAUUCGAAUUGCGUUCCUUCUUUCGAGAAGGAAGGUGAAGUAACUGUAAUGGCGGGCUUAUUUUCAAUCUGCUUCCCAACCACUUUGGGGCGGCGGUGCGAAAACCCAUAACCAUUUUCACCCUAUUUUGCCCAUUUGGCUAAUUUCUAUAUUCAACUGGAGAAAUCCUUUUGAAUGACCUAAGAUUUAUCUUAACUAAGCACAACUCUUAGCAAUGGAUAUCUUGGUUCUC
RNAcentral lists this unclassified non-coding RNA (407 nucleotides) under fungal sp. Its description in RNAcentral is "partial internal transcribed spacer region". The stretch from base 1 to 46 matches the Rfam family "Eukaryotic small subunit ribosomal RNA", at positions 1786 to 1831 of the family's 1831-position model. Lineage: Eukaryota; Fungi. The record is from RNAcentral.